RNAcentral lists this ribosomal RNA (441 nucleotides) under uncultured bacterium. RNAcentral describes it as "partial 16S ribosomal RNA". It matches the Rfam family "Bacterial small subunit ribosomal RNA", at positions 338 to 795 of the family's 1533-position model. The record is from RNAcentral.
CCUACGGGAGGCAGCAGUGGGGAAUAUUGCACAAUGGGCGAAACCCUGAUGCAGCCAAGCCGCGUGAGUGAGGAAGUAUUUCGGUAUGUAAAGCUCUAUCAGCAGGGAAUAGAAAAGAAGGUACCUGAAAAAGAAGCCCCGGCUAACCACGUGCCAGCAGCCGGGGUAAUACGUAGGGGGCAAGCGUUAUCCGGAUUUACUGGGUGUAAAGGGAGCGUAGACGGAAAGGAUAGUCAGAAGUGAAAACCCAAGGCCCAACCAUGGGAAUGCUUUUGAAACUGUCAAACUAGAGUACGGGAGAGGUAAGAGGAAUUCCUAGAGUAGCGGUGAAAUGCGUAGAUAUUAGGAAGAACACCAGUAGCGAAGGCGUCUUACUGGACCGAAACUGACGUUGAGGCACGAAAGCGUGGGGAGCAAACAGGAUUAGAUACCCGAGUAGUC